This 717-nucleotide ribosomal RNA is filed under the name uncultured Staphylococcus sp. RNAcentral describes it as "bacterial SSU rRNA". It matches the Rfam family "Bacterial small subunit ribosomal RNA", at positions 60 to 759 of the family's 1533-position model. The record is from RNAcentral. Lineage: Bacteria; Bacillati; Bacillota; Bacilli; Caryophanales; Staphylococcaceae.
AGUCGAGCGAACGGACGAGAAGCUUGCUUCUCUGAUGUUAGCGGCGGACGGGUGAGUAACACGUGGAUAACCUACCUAUAAGACUGGGAUAACUUCGGGAAACCGGAGCUAAUACCGGAUAAUAUUUUGAACCGCAUGGUUCAAAAGUAAAAGACGGUCUUGCUGUCACUUAUAGAUGGAUCCGCGCUGCAUUAGCUAGUUGGUAAGGUAACGGCUUACCAAGGCAACGAUGCAUAGCCGACCUGAGAGGGUGAUCGGCCACACUGGAACUGAGACACGGUCCAGACUCCUACGGGAGGCAGCAGUAGGGAAUCUUCCGCAAUGGGCGAAAGCCUGACGGAGCAACGCCGCGUGAGUGAUGAAGGUCUUCGGAUCGUAAAACUCUGUUAUUAGGGAAGAACAUAUGUGUAAGUAACUGUGCACAUCUUGACGGUACCUAAUCAGAAAGCCACGGCUAACUACGUGCCAGCAGCCGCGGUAAUACGUAGGUGGCAAGCGUUAUCCGGAAUUAUUGGGCGUAAAGCGCGCGUAGGCGGUUUUUUAAGUCUGAUGUGAAAGCCCACGGCUCAACCGUGGAGGGUCAUUGGAAACUGGAAAACUUGAGUGCAGAAGAGGAAAGUGGAAUUCCAUGUGUAGCGGUGAAAUGCGCAGAGAUAUAGAGGAACACCAGUGGCGAAGGCGACUUUCUGGUCUGUAACUGACGCUGAUGUGCGAAAG